Molecule: long non-coding RNA, 2180 nt
Filed under: Capsicum annuum
Lineage: Eukaryota; Viridiplantae; Streptophyta; Magnoliopsida; Solanales; Solanaceae
Description: long non-coding RNA (CANN_LNC007200)
Source: RNAcentral
UUUUCUCUCAAGAACAAGAAGAUGGUUUUCAAUUGGGGAUUUAAUUUCAAGAAUCUUUCCAUCAAUCUUCCAAGAAUCAUAAACUAAGGUAUGCGUGUGUUGAUUUAUGGAUUCCUUUCAUCCAUAAAGCUCAAAAAUAUCAUCUUCUAAAUUAUGUAUUAUGAUAUUUAUGAUGUUGAUGAUUGAUGAUCAUGUUGUUGAAAUUUGAUGAUUCCCAAGAUGGGAUCUUAGUAUGUUUGUAUAAAACUAUGGUGGUAUAUGAUGUAUAAACAUGUGAAAUUGGUGGUUGAAUACUUAAAAUCUUGAUGAAUCCACCUAUGCUAAAGAUUUGCAUGUAAGGUGUUUGUGAAAAUACCUAAGAAACUAGAAAUCAUGCUUUUAUGACAUAAUAGGUCCUAAAUGACUAGUCAAUGUUCUAUGCUUAUGUUCAACAUGAUUUCCAAGCAAAUUGUUACGCAUUGUUGUUGUGAUAUGGAAUGCUCAUGAAAUUGAAUUUAUGCAAUUAUUUACAUGUUAUAUGCAUUUCCUUUUCAUGAUAAAGAAUAUGAUAGCCAUGUGUAGUAUGAAAUCCCCUACUUAAGAUAUUGUGAAUUGUUGACUCUAUUCUUAUGAUCAAGUCAGUCAUGUGUGUCAGUUUUCUUCCAUCGAGUCCUAGGGGUACUUGUACCUGAAAAAUAUAGUCGUGUGCCUACAGCCAUGUUAUGUUGUCACAAUAUCCUCAGUUAAGCCAUGCUCAGUAAAAUUCAGUCAGUUAUGUGACUCAGAAAAUCUCAGUAAUCUCAUGAACUCAGUCAGUUACCAGAAUCAGUAGUAAGUCCAUCAAUCAAUGGGAAUUUAGUGUACUCAGUACCAGUACAGUUCUACUCAGUACUCAGUAACUUUAGUUCUUUCAGUCAGUCCUCAGAUCUCAGUAGUAUUCCAUCAGUCAACGGAACUCAUUAAAUUUAGCUUAGCUCAGCUAAGCAACACUAUCAGUCCAAUUAAUCAGUUCAGUUAGUCAUGCUUAGUGUCUAUUCAGAUGGGAGUAGAAGUUAGCACCGAGUAAAUCCAAGGAUGGGAACACACACUGUCAGAUAAGGGUGUGAUUCUUAGUAGUCGUCCUUGUGUUCCAGAACUAUGUAGCCAGCAUAGGUUGAGACAUCAACACUGCCAUCUUGAGGGUUGAUGAGGCGAACAUCUGUCGUUCUCAUUUGGGGACAUUGCCAGAUUUGAGGGCCACUCACAGCUUGUCCAUACCUGUGGCACGGUAUUGACACCCUUCCAAUCAGGGCCCAGUUCAGCUACAUUAGCAUACAUGGGGCAUGUCGAUUAAACUACUACCUCCCACAGUUUCAGUCAUUCAGUCUCAGUAAAAGAACUUAGAUAGUUCUUUAGAAUAUCAGGACUGUCAGAUACAGUCAACUCAAAUAUAGUACGGAACUCAAAUAGUUCCGUCAGAUUUAGGGAUGUCAGCUACAGUCACCCACAUUAUUAGUAUCUAAUAUCAAGGCUAUCAGAUAUAGUAACUCAUGUUAUCAGCUAUAUCAACUAUCACAAAUCUUUUGCCAGCCAUAUUAGAUUUCAGUAAACUCAUGCUAUCAGUAUUCAGUUUCAAGACUUUCAGAUACAGUCAAUUAGACCAGUCCUUCAUAAUCAGGACUGCCAGAAACAAUCAUUCCUUUAUCGGUAAUAAAGUAUCAGUCUUCUAGUAUUCAGUAAUACAUUAUCAGUUUCUCACUUAUUAAUGACUCAUAGAUCAAUAUCAAUAAACGCAGUCAUUUAGUAUCUCAAAAUCGAUAAACUCAUGUUGUCAGUAUUCAGACUCGGUAGUCAGUAUUGUCACGAGUUCAGUAGCAUUUACUUAUGUAUGUAUGUAUUCUCACGUUUAUAUCAGUCAGCAUUGUUCAUGCAUACAAACCCUUUGCAUUUAGCCUACUUCACUUGUAUACUCAGUAUUCUCAGUUGUACUGACACAUUCGUGCUAUGGUGCUUUCUUUUAUGUUACACCAUAGGUUCAGAUACACGAUUUCUAGAUCAGCAGUAGCAGUAGCAUCUCAGCUGUCAGAGUUCUAGCAGUGAGUCCUCAUUUCUCGAGGGCAUGAUCAUUACUUAUGUUAUGGUUUAUUUCAAUUCAGUUUUGCUAGUCGGAGUUAGUUGGGGACAUAUCCCAUCAACUCCCUAUUCAGACAAUCAUGUUAGAG